CCUACGGGAGACAGCAGUGGGGAAUAUUGCACAAUGGGGGAAACCCUGAUGCAGCGACGCCGCGUGAGUGAAGAAGUAUUUCGGUACGUAAAGCUCUAUCAGCAGGGAAGAAAAUGACGGUACCUGACUAAGAAGCCCCGGCUAACUACGUGCCAGCAGCCGCGGUAAUACGUAGGGGGCAAGCGUUAUCCGGAUUUACUGGGUGUAAAGGGAGCGUAGACGGCAGCGCAAGUCUGGAGUGAAAUCCCAUGGCUUAACCAUGGAACUGCUUUGGAAACUGUGCAGCUAGAGUGCAGGAGAGGUAAGCGGAAUUCCUAGUGUAGCGGUGAAAUGCGUAGAUAUUAGGAGGAACACCAGUGGCGAAGGCGGCUUACUGGACUGUAACUGACGUUGAGGCUCGAAAGCGUGGGGAGCAAACAGGAUUAGAUACCCUUAGUA
Molecule: ribosomal RNA, 438 nt
Filed under: uncultured bacterium
Lineage: Bacteria
Description: partial 16S ribosomal RNA
Rfam family: Bacterial small subunit ribosomal RNA
Source: RNAcentral